This 433-nucleotide long non-coding RNA is filed under the name Olea europaea (common olive). RNAcentral describes it as "long non-coding RNA (OEUR_LNC005404)". Lineage: Eukaryota; Viridiplantae; Streptophyta; Magnoliopsida; Lamiales; Oleaceae. The record is from RNAcentral.
AUUCUAGUUCUAUUCUGUAAAAAUAAUUCUGUACAAACAGAAUUGUUGUAUUAUAAAUGUUGUUCAGUUUAACUUUUCAAACAAGCUAAUUCGUUUGCAAUUACUUUGAGACUCACCAAGCCCAAUCUAGAGUAGACAUUAGUUUUAUCUCACGCCUUGCUGGCAGCCGCAGUAUGGGGAUUCGAUUCCUGAGAUAUGGAAUUAGACUCCUUGUAGGCGCAGUGUAUAUGCAACUCUUGUUCCCUGACCUGUUGGGAGCACAUCCCUCAAUUUACCUCCCUCACAAAGCUUUAGGGGUGGGGCGGUGAAGGCCCUCAAGGUUGAGGUUCAACCUUUAGAGUAGACAUUAGUUUUUGUUUCUUAUGUAGUACUUUCACUAGGCAGCAGCACCCAGUUUUGUGUGAUGCGGCGCCACCACGCUGCUCAAAAUUUC